GGGGCUAUAGCUCAGUGGUAGAGUGCUUGCCUUGCAUGUGUGAAGCCCUGGGUUCUAUCCCCAGCACCA
RNAcentral lists this transfer RNA (69 nucleotides) under Ictidomys tridecemlineatus (thirteen-lined ground squirrel). Its description in RNAcentral is "Spermophilus tridecemlineatus (thirteen-lined ground squirrel) tRNA". It matches the Rfam family "tRNA". From Rfam's summary of the family: Transfer RNA (tRNA) molecules are approximately 80 nucleotides in length. Their secondary structure includes four short double-helical elements and three loops (D, anti-codon, and T loops). The record is from Rfam by way of RNAcentral. Lineage: Eukaryota; Metazoa; Chordata; Mammalia; Rodentia; Sciuridae.